GGUAGCGAAAUUCCUUGUCGGUUAAAUACCGACCUGCAUGAAUGGCGUAACGAGAUGGGAGCUGUCUCAAAGAGGGAUCCAGUGAAAUUGUAGUGGAGGUGAAAAUUCCUCCUACCCGCGGCAAGACGGAGAGACCCCGUGGACCUUUACUACAGCUUGACACUGCUAUUUGGAUAAGAAUGUGCAGGAUAGGUGGGAGGCUUUGAGUAUAUGACGCCAGUUGUAUAUGAGCCAUUGUUGAGAUACCACUCUUUCUUAUUUGGGUAGCUAACCAGCUUGAGUUAUCCUCAAGUGGGACAAUGUCUGGUGGGUAGUUUGACUGGGGCGGUCGCCUCCCAAAUAAUAACGGAGGCUUACAAAGGUUGGCUCAUAGCGGUUGGAAAUCGCUAGUAGAGUAUAAAGGUAUAAGCCAGCUUAACUGCAAGACAUACAAGUCAAGCAGAGACGAAAGUCGGUCUUAGUGAUCCGGUGGUUCUGUGUGGAAGGGCCAUCGCUCAAAGGAUAAAAGGU
RNAcentral lists this ribosomal RNA (510 nucleotides) under Campylobacter coli. RNAcentral describes it as "bacterial LSU rRNA". It matches the Rfam family "Bacterial large subunit ribosomal RNA", at positions 1955 to 2464 of the family's 2925-position model. The record is from RNAcentral. Lineage: Bacteria; Pseudomonadati; Campylobacterota; Epsilonproteobacteria; Campylobacterales; Campylobacteraceae.